RNAcentral lists this unclassified non-coding RNA (73 nucleotides) under Pedobacter terrae. Its description in RNAcentral is "Flavo-1 RNA". The record is from RNAcentral. Lineage: Bacteria; Pseudomonadati; Bacteroidota; Sphingobacteriia; Sphingobacteriales; Sphingobacteriaceae.
ACCCAGACCCGAUAGUAGCGGACACGAACCCGAUAUUUCAUCGGGUGAAGUAAAACGGAAAGCGGAACGAAAC